AACGUAGGACGCGAGCGUUAUCCGGAUUUACUGGGCGUAAAGCGCGGGCAGGCGGCUGUUCAAGUCGGACGUGAAAGCUCCCGGCUCAACCGGGAGAGGCCGUUCGAAACUGGGCAGCUAGAGGGCAGCAGAGGGGCGUGGAAUUCCGGGUGGAGUGGUGAAAUGCGUAGAGAUCCGGAGGAACACCAGAGGCGAAGGCGGCGCCCUGGGCUGCACCUGACGCUGAGCCGCGAAAGCCAGGGUAGCGAACGGGAUUAGAAACCCCGGUAGUCCUGGCCGUAAACGAUGUCCACUAGAUGUCGGGCCGUGAAGGCUCGGCGUCGCAGCUAACGCAGUAAGUGGACCGCCUGGGGAGUACGGCCGCAAGGCUAAAACUCAAAGGAAUUGACGGGGGCCCGCACAAGCAGCGGAGCGUGUGGUUUAAUUCGAGGCAACGCGAAGAACCUUACCUGGGCUUGACAUGGCGGUGGUACCGAGGCGAAAGCCGAGGGACCCUUCGGGGAGCCGUCACAGGUGCUGCAUGGCU
This 526-nucleotide ribosomal RNA is filed under the name uncultured bacterium. RNAcentral describes it as "bacterial SSU rRNA". It matches the Rfam family "Bacterial small subunit ribosomal RNA", at positions 524 to 1050 of the family's 1533-position model. The record is from RNAcentral.